GACGAACGCUGGCGGCGUGCCUAAUACAUGCAAGUAGAACGCACAGUUUAUACCGUAGCUUGCUACACCAUAAACUGUGAGUUGCGAACGGGUGAGUAACGCGUAGGUAACCUGCCUGGUAGCGGGGGAUAACUAUUGGACACGAUAGCUAAUACCGCAUAAUAUUGAUUAUUGCAUGAUAAUUGAUUGAAAGAUGCUAUUGCAUCACUACCAGAUGGACCUGCGUUGUAUUAGCUAGUAGGUGAGGUAACGGCUCACCUAGGCGACGAUACAUAGCCGACCUGAGAGGGUGAUCGGCCACACUGGGACUGAGACACGGCCCAGACUCCUACGGGAGGCAGCAGUAGGGAAUCUUCGGCAAUGGACGAAAGUCUGACCGAGCAACGCCGCGGGAGGGAAGAAGGUUUUCGGAUCGUAAAGCUCUGUUGUAAGAGAAGAACGGGUGUGAGAGUGGAAAGUUCACACUGUGACGGUAUCUUACCAGAAAGGGACGGCUAACUACGUG
RNAcentral lists this ribosomal RNA (505 nucleotides) under uncultured bacterium. RNAcentral describes it as "partial 16S ribosomal RNA". It matches the Rfam family "Bacterial small subunit ribosomal RNA", at positions 28 to 507 of the family's 1533-position model. The record is from RNAcentral.